This 484-nucleotide ribosomal RNA is filed under the name uncultured bacterium. RNAcentral's name for it is "partial 16S ribosomal RNA". It matches the Rfam family "Bacterial small subunit ribosomal RNA", at positions 30 to 507 of the family's 1533-position model. The record is from RNAcentral.
AUUGAACGCUGGCGGCAGGCCUAACACAUGCAAGUCGAGCGGAUGAAGGGAGCUUGCUCCUGGAUUCAGCGGCGGACGGGUGAGUAAUGCCUAGGAAUCUGCCUGGUAGUGGGGGAUAACGUCCGGAAACGGGCGCUAAUACCGCAUACGUCCUGAGGGAGAAAGUGGGGGAUCUUCGGACCUCACGCUAUCAGAUGAGCCUAGGUCGGAUUAGCUAGUUGGUGGGGUAAAGGCCUACCAAGGCGACGAUCCGUGACUGGUCUGAGAGGAUGAUCUGUCACACUGGAACUGAGACACGGUCCAGACUCCUACGGGAGGCAGCAGUGGGGAAUAUUGGACAAUGGGCGAAAGCCUGAUCCAGCCAUGCCGCGUGUGUGAAGAAGGUCUUCGGAUUGUAAAGCACUUUAAGUUGGGAGGAAGGGCAGUAAGUUAAUACCUUGCUGUUUUGACGUUACCAACAGAAUAAGCACCGGCUAACUUCGUG